Molecule: ribosomal RNA, 468 nt
Filed under: uncultured bacterium
Lineage: Bacteria
Description: partial 16S ribosomal RNA
Rfam family: Bacterial small subunit ribosomal RNA
Source: RNAcentral
GACGAACGCUGGCGGCGUGCUUAACACAUGCAAGUCGAACGGAAAGGCCCUGCUUUUGUGUGGUUCUCGAGUGGCGAACGGGUGAGUAACACGUGAGUCACCUGCCCUUGACUUUGGGAUAACUUCAGGAAACUGGGGCUAAUACCGAAUAGGAGCUCCUGCUGCAUGGUGGGUGUUGGAAAGUUUCGGCGGUUGGGGAUGGACUCGCGGCUUAUCAGCUUGUUGGUGGGGUAGUGGCUUACCAAGGCUUUGACGGGUAGCCGGCCUGAGAGGGUGACCGGGGACAAUGGGACUGAGAUACGGCCCAGACUGCUACGGGAGGCAGAAGUGGGGAAUAUUGCACAAUGGGCGGAAGUCUGAUGAAGAAACGCCGCGUGCGGGAUGAAGGCCUUCGGGUUGUAAACCGCUUUCGCCUGUGACGAAGCGGGAGUGACGGUAAUGGGUAAAGAAGCACCGGCUAACUACGUG